AAGUCGUAACAAGGUUUCCGUAGGUGAACCUGCGGAAGGAUCAUUACUGCUUGCUCACGGCGCCGCUCGGGAAACCGGGCGGGGUCGGGCAUGCCACCCUUGCCUAUGUAUACCUGUCGUUCCUUCCCUCGGCGGGGCAUCCCGCCGCUGGGAACAACAAACCCUCUUGCAUGAAGCAUCAAACCUUCUGAACAAAACCUAAAUAAUCACAACUUUCAACAAUGGAUCUCUUGGUUCUG
RNAcentral lists this unclassified non-coding RNA (239 nucleotides) under air metagenome. RNAcentral describes it as "partial contains small subunit ribosomal RNA, internal transcribed spacer 1, and 5.8S ribosomal RNA". The stretch from base 1 to 46 matches the Rfam family "Eukaryotic small subunit ribosomal RNA", at positions 1786 to 1831 of the family's 1831-position model. The record is from RNAcentral.